UCGGUUAAGAAGAAAAAAAAUGUGUUGAUGCAACAAACGUGAACAACAAAACCUGUGUUGGUUCACGAGGAAAAGACAAGUAGUUGUGCUCCAUGUCAUGCAAUUCAGUAAGGUAUAUAUGUAAUAUCAUGGAUUGUCUAUCAAUUAUUUAGUAUUUCCUAUAUUCAAUAUUUAUUUAUGCUUUUUGAACAAUGUCACAGAAAAUAUGAUUAACUUUUGAGGCUCUGCCAUAUUUUCUAUAAAAACUUUGGAGAGCUGGUGUGGUAUGUAAAAACAUUUGGGACAGUUGUCACUGCGAUAUUUUGUUACAUCAUGGGUUGUUACUACCGUGUAUUUUGUUGAAACCUUUUGAAGAACUGCUACUUUUGCCCCUUUUGAAGAACUGCUGCUGUUGCCAUUACUUAAAAUAUGUUGAAUAUCAAUGUCCCUUCUAAAUAUGUUUACAACUAUGUAAAGUUGUUUAUGUAAAUAUGUUUAUUUAGCUUUUAUUUAUAUUAUAAGUGUUAUAUCUUUUUGCUUAA
RNAcentral lists this long non-coding RNA (521 nucleotides) under Lactuca sativa (garden lettuce). Its description in RNAcentral is "long non-coding RNA (LSAT_LNC000898)". Lineage: Eukaryota; Viridiplantae; Streptophyta; Magnoliopsida; Asterales; Asteraceae. The record is from RNAcentral.